UUAGAAUUUAACCCUGAACACACCCGAUCUCAUCUGAUCUCAGAAGCUAAGAAGGGUCAGGCCUGAUUCAUACUUGAAUGGGAGAACACUAGAAUUUAGUCCUAUCUAAC
Fukomys damarensis (Damara mole-rat) is the source of this 110-nucleotide ribosomal RNA. The record is from Ensembl. NCBI's taxonomy places the organism in Eukaryota, Metazoa, Chordata, Mammalia, Rodentia, Bathyergidae.